GUGCUUGCUUUGGCAGCACAUAUACUAAAACUGAAGUGAUACAGAGAAGAGUAGCAUGGCCCCUGCACAAGGAUUACAUGCAAAUUUGUGAAGUGUUCCGUAUUUCU
Molecule: small nuclear RNA, 107 nt
Organism: Gorilla gorilla gorilla (western lowland gorilla)
Lineage: Eukaryota; Metazoa; Chordata; Mammalia; Primates; Hominidae
Source: Ensembl